GUGGGGAAUUUUGGACAAUGGGCGCAAGCCUGAUCCAGCAAUGCCGCGUGCAGGAAGAAGGCCUUCGGGUUGUAAACUGCUUUUGUACGGAACGAAACGGUCCGGGUUAAUACCCUGGGCUAAUGACGGUACCGUAAGAAUAAGCACCGGCUAACUACGUGCCAGCAGCCGCGGUAAUACGUAGGGUGCAAGCGUUAAUCGGAAUUACUGGGCGUAAAGCGUGCGCAGGCGGUUUUGUAAGACAGGCGUGACAUCCCCGGGCUCAACCUGGGAAUUGCGCUUGUGACUGCAUGGGUGGAGUGCGGCAGAGGGGGAUGGAAUUCCGCGUGUAGCAGUGAAAUGCGUAGAUAUGCGGAGGAACACCGAUGGCGAAGGCAAUCCCCUGGGCCUGCACUGACGCUCAUGCACGAAAGCGUGGGGAGCAAACAGGAUUAGAAACCCGGGUAGUCC
Molecule: ribosomal RNA, 450 nt
Filed under: uncultured bacterium
Lineage: Bacteria
Description: partial 16S ribosomal RNA
Rfam family: Bacterial small subunit ribosomal RNA
Source: RNAcentral